GGCUUACACAUGCAAGUCGAGGGGUAACAGAGGAGCUUGCUCUUGCUGACGACCGGCGCACGGGUGCGUAACGCGUAUACAAUCUGCCUUACACUAAGGGAUAGCCCAGAGAAAUUUGGAUUAACACCUUAUAGUUUAUUUUUAUGGCAUCAUUUAAAUAAUAAAGUUUACGGUGUAAGAUGAGUAUGCGUCCCAUUAGUUUGUUGGUAAGGUAACGGCUUACCAAGACUACGAUGGGUAGGGGCCCUGAGAGGGGGAUCCCCCACACUGGUACUGAGACACGGACCAGACUCCUACGGGAGGCAGCAGUGAGGAAUAUUGGACAAUGGAGGAGACUCUGAUCCAGCCAUGCCGCGUGCAGGAAGACGGUCCUAUGGAUUGUAAACUGCUUUUAUACAGGAAGAAUAAGGACUACGUGUAGUCUGGUGACGGUACUGUAAGAAUAAGGACCGGCUAACUCCGUGCCAGCAGCCGCGGUAAUACGGAGGGUCCGAGCGUUAUCCGGAAUUAUUGGGUUUAAAGGGUCCGUAGGCGGGCUGUUAAGUCAGGGGUGAAAGUUUGCAGCUCAACUGUAGAAUUGCCUUUGAUACUGAUGGUCUUGAAUUAUUGUGAAGUGGUUAGAAUAUGUAGUGUAGCGGUGAAAUGCAUAGAUAUUACAUAGAAUACCGAUUGCGAAGGCAGAUCACUAACAAUUGAUUGACGCUGAUGGACGAAAGCGUGGGUAGCGAACAGGAUUAGAUACCCUGGUAGUCCACGCCGUAAACGAUGGAUACUAGCUGUUUGGAUUUCGAUCUGAGCGGCCAAGCGAAAGUGAUAAGUAUCCCACCUGGGGAGUACGUUCGCAAGAAUGAAACUCAAAGGAAUUGACGGGGGCCCGCACAAGCGGUGGAGCAUGUGGUUUAAUUCGAUGAUACGCGAGGAACCUUACCAGGGCUUAAAUGUAGAUUGACAGGUUUAGAGAUAGACUUUCCUUCGGGCAAUUUACAGGGUGCUGCAUGGUUGUCGUCAGCUCGUGCCGUGAGGG
RNAcentral lists this ribosomal RNA (1024 nucleotides) under Cellulophaga lytica. RNAcentral's name for it is "bacterial SSU rRNA". It matches the Rfam family "Bacterial small subunit ribosomal RNA", at positions 45 to 1073 of the family's 1533-position model. Lineage: Bacteria; Pseudomonadati; Bacteroidota; Flavobacteriia; Flavobacteriales; Flavobacteriaceae. The record is from RNAcentral.